Molecule: long non-coding RNA, 640 nt
Filed under: Actinidia chinensis (golden kiwifruit)
Lineage: Eukaryota; Viridiplantae; Streptophyta; Magnoliopsida; Ericales; Actinidiaceae
Description: long non-coding RNA (ACHI_LNC009102)
Source: RNAcentral
AAAAAUGAGUGUGUUGCAAGGUUAAAAGAGCUGCUUAUAGUUUGUGUUUGAUAGAUCUUUCACAGAAAAAGAAUCAGAGAGAGCUGCACUGUAGUCUGCAUACAUAACCAACAUGAAUACCAGUGUUCUAAAAAGCACUAGGCAGUAAGCGGCGGCCGAGGCUUAACCGCCUAGACGCCUAGGUGGACCUAGCGUUUGUUAUUUUUAUUUUUUUAUUUAUUUAGACAUUAUAUUUACUAAAAUAUAAUAAAUGACCAAUAUCAAUUCUAACAAAAAAAUAAUUCAAAAUAGUAAGUUCAAAAAAAAUGUUUUGUAAAUAUAUUAAGAGGAAGAUUAAAUGACAAUUUAAGUCUUUAAAAUACUAGAGAUUAAAAUUAGGUCCUUCUAAAAUCGCUAGCGGUGAGCAGGGGGGCCGGGGGGCCAGCAGCCCUUGUCGGCCUAACACCUAAGCGGUCGAUUUUUAGAACAGUGAUGAAUACCAUACCAAACAAAUGGUAAUUGUCAAUUUGUCACUUCAAAUUUAAACAGUUGCUUCCUCACUACCAUGGCAGUAACUUCACACAUUGAUUUUUUUCCCCUCCAUCAUCAGAAUCUAACUUUUCUGAAGUACAGUGAAAGCUUGGAGUUGAUUUCCUCCUGC